Molecule: ribosomal RNA, 504 nt
Filed under: uncultured bacterium
Lineage: Bacteria
Description: partial 16S ribosomal RNA
Rfam family: Bacterial small subunit ribosomal RNA
Source: RNAcentral
GACGAACGCUGGCGGCGUGCCUAAUACAUGCAAGUAGAACGCACAGUUUAUACCGUAGCUUGCUACACCAUAGACUGUGAGUUGCGAACGGGUGAGUAACGCGUAGGUAACCUGCCUGGUAGCGGGGGAUAACUAUUGGAAACGAUAGCUAAUACCGCAUAAUAUUCAUUAUUGCAUGAUAAUUAAUUGAAAGGUGCAAUUGCACCACUACCAGAUGGACCUGCGUUGUAUUAGCUAGUAGGUGAGGUAACGGCUCACCUAGGCGACGAUACAUAGCCGACCUGAGAGGGUGAUCGGCCACACUGGAACUGAGACACGGCCCAGACUCCUACGGGAGGCAGCAGUAGGGAAUCUUCGGCAAUGGACGAAAGUCUGACCGAGCAACGCCGCGUGAGUGAAGAAGGUUUUCGGAUCGUAAAGCUCUGUUGUAAGAGAAGAACGGGUGUGAGAGUGGAAAGUUCACACUGUGACGGUAUCUUACCAGAAAGGGACGGCUAACUACGU